RNAcentral lists this ribosomal RNA (465 nucleotides) under uncultured bacterium. Its description in RNAcentral is "bacterial SSU rRNA". It matches the Rfam family "Bacterial small subunit ribosomal RNA", at positions 28 to 507 of the family's 1533-position model. The record is from RNAcentral.
GACGAACGCUGGCGGCGUGCUUAACACAUGCAAGUCGAACGGUGACGAGGAGCUUGCUCCUCUGAUCAGUGGCGAACGGGUGAGUAACACGUGAGCAGCCUGCCCCAGACUCUGGGAUAACAGUUGGAAACAGCUGCUAAUACCGGAUACGAGACGGAGAGGCAUCUCUACCGUCUGGAAAGUUUUCGGUCUGGGAUGGACUCGCGGCCUAUCAGCUAGUUGGUGAGGUAAUGGCUCACCAAGGCGACGACGGGUAGCCGGCCUGAGAGGGCGACCGGCCACACUGGGACUGAGACACGGCCCAGACUCCUACGGGAGGCAGCAGUGGGGAAUAUUGCACAAUGGGCGAAAGCCUGAUGCAGCGACGCCGCGUGAGGGAUGACGGCCUUCGGGUUGUAAACCUCUUUCAGCAGGGAAGAAGCGAAAGUGACGGUACCUGCAGAAGAAGCACCGGCUAACUACGUG